Small nucleolar RNA from Eucalyptus grandis, 112 nucleotides. RefSeq annotates it as small nucleolar RNA snoR100. The transcript has a single exon. The record is from RefSeq and is a predicted model, not a curated record. NCBI's taxonomy places the organism in Eukaryota, Viridiplantae, Streptophyta, Magnoliopsida, Myrtales, Myrtaceae.
UAAUGAAGGAAGCAUGGUAAUGUGCACGGAGAUUGAGGAUUUGGGUCAACUUGUCUGCUCUCCCUGAUGCCUCUGAGGCUCUGAUUUGAGGGCCUGGUUGCGACCUACAUUU